Molecule: RNase P RNA, 426 nt
Filed under: Acetobacteraceae bacterium
Lineage: Bacteria; Pseudomonadati; Pseudomonadota; Alphaproteobacteria; Acetobacterales; Acetobacteraceae
Description: RNase P RNA component class A
Rfam family: Bacterial RNase P class A
About the family: Ribonuclease P (RNase P) is a ubiquitous endoribonuclease, found in archaea, bacteria and eukarya as well as chloroplasts and mitochondria. Its best characterised activity is the generation of mature 5'-ends of tRNAs by cleaving the 5'-leader elements of precursor-tRNAs. Cellular RNase Ps are ribonucleoproteins.
Source: RNAcentral
UCAGGUGGCUGGACGGCCGCUGGCAUCGCCGCAAGGCGGUGCUGGAGGAAAGUCCGGGCUCCACGGGAAUAGGAUGCCGGUUAAUGGCCGGCGAAGGUUGCGCCGCGAGGCGUGGUCUUCAGGGAAAGUGCCACAGAAAACAAACCGCCGGGCAGCCGCGAGGCUUUCCGGCAAGGGUGAAACGGUGCGGUAAAAGCGCACCGCGCCCUCGGCAACGGGGGCGGCAGGGCAAACCCCAUCCGGAGCAAGGCCGAAUAGGGGUGGCCGGCGGCGUCGGUUUCGACCGACGUGACGCAGGGGCAUUUCCGCCCCGUCACCCGGGUUGGCUGCAGGAGGCGCGCCGCAAGGCCCGUCCCAGAGGAAUGGUCGUCCCGUCGCCGGUUCGCCGGCGGCGGACAGAACCCGGCUUAUAGGCCACCUGACGCA